Molecule: long non-coding RNA, 901 nt
Filed under: Helianthus annuus (common sunflower)
Lineage: Eukaryota; Viridiplantae; Streptophyta; Magnoliopsida; Asterales; Asteraceae
Description: hypothetical non coding rna
Source: RNAcentral
AUGACAUUAUAUCCUACUAGCAUCUUAGAGGUUUUGUGUUCGAUUCCCACAAGUGGGAUAUUGUUGGCUAGUGGAGAUGAAUAUGAUUUAGUGGUUCUGCUGGUGGCAUGAUGAUAUUUCAGUGGUUCGUCAGUGAUCCAAAUUUGUCGUUAAAAAAAGUUAUUUAAAAGGCAAAUUAACCCUUGGCCCAGACAUUUAUGGCAAAUGAUUAUUUAUCAGUUAUUUAAAAGGUAAAUUAGCCUUUGACCCAGACGUUUAUGGAAAAAAAAGGAUAUGUGGUUUUUAAGAUUUUAGGAAAAGUUUUAUAAUAAGUUUAAAGGAUGAGUAACGAUACUUUAAAUAAUCCAUUAAAGAUACGAUGGUGACUAUAUCAUAAGUAGGAGAGUUGGUAAAUCCAGUGCAGAAUCGAUUUAAGUAGAUAAUAUAGAAAUUGUAUAUGCAUUUGUACAAUUAAAUAUAAGUUGAGUUAGAAAUAGAGUAAGGUACACAACUAUAUAAACUUUUUAUAUAUCGUAGAAAAAACAUAAGGUAUAAAUGUUUGUAAGUUUCUUAUAACUAGAAUUACCAUACGCCGCAUUGCUGCGGGGAUUCGUUAGUUAUAUAUCAUAUUAGAUGAAAGUCAAGUGUUUCUUACAUGACCGCGAGCCUGUGUGACUGUAAAACAUAGAAAAGAAUAACUAAGUCGAUCUAUGACUCGCGCGUUGCGACAUACCUAUCAAACGAGGAAAAAUAGACGUGCUGCGACGAGCCUGUCAAACGGGAAAAAGUAGAUGAAAUAACGUUGAACCCCACACACGUUGCGGCGUGUUAAUUCGGAAAAUCUAGAACGAAAGUUAUACAGAAAACUUGUGAAAGAUUAAAAGUAUAACCAAAGUUGCAAAAGAUGAAAAGCUUUGGGUUA